Molecule: ribosomal RNA, 1236 nt
Filed under: metagenome
Description: bacterial LSU rRNA
Rfam family: Bacterial large subunit ribosomal RNA
Source: RNAcentral
UGAAUACGAGAUGCUACGGCGUCGAAGCAGUGUAUGUCAGACUUCCAAGAAAAGCUCGCAAUGUCAUAAAUAAAGAAUGCCUGUACCAUAACCGACACAGGUGGGUAGGUAGAGUAUACUAAGGGGCGCGAGAUAACUCUCUCUAAGGAACUCGGCAAAAUAACUCCGUAACUUCGGGAGAAGGAGUGCCUUCUUUAAGAAGGUUGCAAUAACAAGAUCCAAGCAACUGUUUAUCAAAAACACAGGUCUCCGCUAAGUCGUAAGACGAUGUAUGGGGGCUGACGCCUGCCCAGUGCCAGAAGGUUAAAGAAGUUGGUUAGCUUUUGCGAAGCUGAUGACUGAAGCCCUGGUGAACGGCGGCCGUAACUAUAACGGUCCUAAGGUAGCGAAAUUCCUUGUCGGGUAAGUUCCGACCCGCACGAAAGGCGUAAUGAUUUGGAUACUGUCUCGGAGAGGGACUCGGUGAAAUAGACUUGUCUGUGAAGAUGCGGACUACCUGCACCAGGACAGAAAGACCCUAUGAAGCUUUACUGUAACUUGAAAUUGAAAUUGGACUUUAUUUGCGCAGUAUAGGUGGAAGGCGUUGAAAGUAAUCUUGCGGGAUUAGUGGAGCCAUCAGUGAGAUACCACUCCUAUAAUGUUAGAUUUCUAACUUUGGAUCAUGAUCUGGUCAAAGAACAGUUUCAGGCGGGCAGUUUGACUGGGGCGGUCGCCUCCCAAAUGGUAACGGAGGCGUACAAAGGUUUCCUCUGAACGGGUAGAAAUCGUAUCUAGAGUGUAAAGGCAUAAGGAAGCUUGACUGUGAGACCUACAAGUCGAGCAGGGACGAAAGUCGGUCUUAGUGAUCUGACGGUGCUGAGUGGAAAGGCCGUCACUCAACGGAUAAAAGUUACUCUAAGGAUAACAGGCUGAUCUCCCCCAAGAGUUCACAUCGACGGGGAGGUUUGGCACCUCGAUGUCGGCUCAUCGCAUCCUGGGGCGGUAGUACGUCCCAAGGGUUGGGCUGUUCGCCCAUGAAAGCGGUACGCGAGCUGGGUUCAGAACGUCGUGAGACAGUUCGGUCCAUAUCCGGUGUAGGCGUUAGAAUAUUGAGAGGAGCCUUCUUUAGUACGAGAGGACCGAGAAGGACAUACCUCUGGUGUACCAGUUAUCGUGCCAACGGUAAACGCUGGGUAGCUAUGUAUGGAGAGGAUAACCGCUGAAAGCAUCUAAGUGGGAAGCCCACCUCAAGAUGAG